Molecule: ribosomal RNA, 910 nt
Filed under: uncultured bacterium
Lineage: Bacteria
Description: bacterial SSU rRNA
Rfam family: Bacterial small subunit ribosomal RNA
Source: RNAcentral
AGUUUGAUCCUGGCUCAGGAUGAACGCUAGCUACAGGCUUAACACAUGCAAGUCGAGGGGCAGCAUGUUGGUUGCUUGCAACCAAUGAUGGCGACCGGCGCACGGGUGAGUAACGCGUAUCCAACCUACCCUUGUCCAUCGGAUAACCCGUCGAAAGGCGGCCUAACACGAUAUGCGGUUCACCGCAGGCAUCUAACGUGAACGAAAUGUGAAGGAGAAGGAUGGGGAUGCGUCUGAUUAGCUUGUUGGCGGGGUAACAGCCCACCAAGGCUACGAUCAGUAGGGGUUCUGAGAGGAAGGUCCCCCACAUUGGAACUGAGACACGGUCCAAACUCCUACGGGAGGCAGCAGUGAGGAAUAUUGGUCAAUGGACGAGAGUCUGAACCAGCCAAGUAGCGUGCAGGAUGACGGCCCUAUGGGUUGUAAACUGCUUUUAUAGGGGGAUAAAGUGUGUCACGUGUGGCAUAUUGCAGGUACCCUAUGAAUAAGGACCGGCUAAUUCCGUGCCAGCAGCCGCGGUAAUACGGAAGGUCCGGGCGUUAUCCGGAUUUAUUGGGUUUAAAGGGAGCGUAGGCCGUUUGGUAAGCGUGUUGUGAAAUGUCGGGGCUCAACCUGGGCAUUGCAGCGCGAACUGCCAGACUUGAGUGCGCAGGAAGUAGGCGGAAUUCGUCGUGUAGCGGUGAAAUGCUUAGAUAUGACGAAGAACUCCGAUUGCGAAGGCAGCCUGCUGUAGCGCAACUGACGCUGAAGCUCAAAAGCGUGGGUAUCGAACAGGAUUAGAUACCCUGGUAGUCCACGCGGUAAACGAUGGAUGCUCGCUGUUUGCGUCUGACGUAAGCGGCCAAGCGAAAGCGUUAAGCAUCCCACCUGGGGAGUACGCCGGCAACGGUGAAACUCAAAUGAAUUGACG